Molecule: ribosomal RNA, 459 nt
Filed under: uncultured bacterium
Lineage: Bacteria
Description: partial 16S ribosomal RNA
Rfam family: Bacterial small subunit ribosomal RNA
Source: RNAcentral
CCUACGGGUGGCUGCAGUGAGGAAUAUUGGUCAAUGGGAGAGAUCCUGAACCAGCCAAGCCGCGUGAGGGAAGACGGCCCUAUGGGUUGUAAACCUCUUUUGUCGGGGAACAAAACCCGGGACGUGUCCCCGACUGCGUGUAUCCGAAGCAAAAGCAUCGGCGAACUCCGUGCCCGCAGCCCCGGUAAUACGGAGGAUGCGAGCGUUAUCCUGAUUUAUUGGGUUUAAAGGGUGCGUAGGCGGUUCGUUACGUCAGUGGUAAAAUUGCGGGGCUCAACCCCGUCGAGCCGUUGAAACUGGCAGACUUGAGGUGGCGAGAGGUAGGCAGAAUGCGAGGUGUAGCGGUGAAAUGCAUAGAUAUCGCGCAGAACUCCGAUUGCGAAGGCAGCGUACCGGCGCCAGACUGACGCUGAGGCACGAAAGCGUGGGGAUCGAACAGGAUUAGAUACCCCGGUAGUC